Molecule: ribosomal RNA, 495 nt
Filed under: uncultured bacterium
Lineage: Bacteria
Description: bacterial SSU rRNA
Rfam family: Bacterial small subunit ribosomal RNA
Source: RNAcentral
AUUGAACGCUGGCGGAAUGCUUUACACAUGCAAGUCGAACGGUAGAGGGGGCAACCCCUUGAGAGUGGCGAACGGGUGAGUAAUAUAUCGGAACGUGCCCAGUCGUGGGGAUAACGUAGCGAAAGUUACGCUAAUACCGCAUACGAUCUAAGGAUGAAAGCGGGGGACUCGCAAGAGCCUCGCGCGAUUGGAGCGGCCGAUAUCAGAUUAGGUAGUUGGUGGGGUAAAGGCUCACCAAGCCAACGAUCUGUAGCUGGUCUGAGAGGACGACCAGCCACACUGGAACUGAGACACGGUCCAGACUCCUACGGGAGGCAGCAGUGGGAAUUUUGGACAAUGGACGCAAGUCUGAUCCAGCCAUUCCGCGUGCAGGAUGAAGGCCCUCGGGUUGUAAACUGCUUUUGUACGGAACCGAAAAAGGUUUACUAUUAAUAACUAGGAGCUCAUGACGGUACCGUAAGAAUAAGCAACCGGCUAAACUACGUGCCAGCAGCG